RNAcentral lists this ribosomal RNA (254 nucleotides) under uncultured prokaryote. Its description in RNAcentral is "partial 16S ribosomal RNA". It matches the Rfam family "Bacterial small subunit ribosomal RNA", at positions 525 to 777 of the family's 1533-position model. The record is from RNAcentral.
ACAGAGGGUGCGAGCGUUGUUCGGAAUUACUGGGCGUAAAGCGCGCGCAGGCGGCUGCUUAAGUCCGUCGGUCAAAUGCCGGGGCUCAACCCCGAGCGUGCCGAGGAUACUGGGCGUCUUGACUCACGCAGAGGUCGGCGGAAUUCCCGGUGUAGUGGUGGAAUGCGUAGAGAUCGGGAGGAACCUCGAAAGCGAAGGCAGCCGACUGGGCGCUGAGUGACGCUGAGGGACGAAAGCGUGGGGAGCGAACAGGA